GAUGAACGCUGGCGGCGUGCCUAAUACAUGCAAGUCGAGCGAACAGACGAGGAGCUUGCUCCUCUGACGUUAGCGGCGGACGGGUGAGUAACACGUGGAUAACCUACCUAUAAGACUGGGAUAACUUCGGGAAACCGGAGCUAAUACCGGAUAAUAUCUUGAACCGCAUGGUUCAAUAGUGAAAGACGGUUUUGCUGUCACUUAUAGAUGGAUCCGCGCCGCAUUAGCUAGUUGGUAAGGUAACGGCUUACCAAGGCAACGAUGCGUAGCCGACCUGAGAGGGUGAUCGGCCACACUGGAACGGAGACACGGUCCAGACUCCUACGGGAGGCAGCAGUAGGGAAUCGUCCGCAAUGGGCGAAAGCCUGACGGAGCAACGCCGCGUGAGUGAUGAAGGUCUUCGGAUCGUAAAACUCGGUUAUUAGGGAAGAACAAAUGUGGAAGUAACUAUGCACGUCUUGACGGUACCUAAUCAGAAAGCCACGGCUAACUACGUG
This 497-nucleotide ribosomal RNA is filed under the name uncultured bacterium. RNAcentral's name for it is "partial 16S ribosomal RNA". It matches the Rfam family "Bacterial small subunit ribosomal RNA", at positions 28 to 507 of the family's 1533-position model. The record is from RNAcentral.